UGGUCUACUUCGUCCUGGUGUGUAAGUCCAAGUGUGUAAGUUCAUGUUUAAGCCCUUGCCCUUGAGAACUCCGGCGUGUGAGGGUCUCUCUCCCGAAGCUUUGGUACUGCCACCCGAAUCCCUGCUCCCAUCCUUCAGUGAGUGACUAAAGACAGGCGUGAUAACCUGACCAACUAGGGGAUUUGAAUGGAGAACAGAACUGCCAUUAGGGUCUUCCCUGUCCGUGGACUUCCUCUGUUCAAAUGAUGGCAGCACUCGUGAGAUCUGUGAUUGAUGGCGUCACGUACCUGUACAUGCUGAAGACUGUGUUGCCAUUGUGCAUAAGGUACACGUACACUUCCUCCACAUCCUCAUGCUUCAUCAUGCUGAAGGUGAAGAAGUACACACCUGGAAAGGACAAGGAUUUACUCAUUCACUCAUACACUGAAGAUGAGUCAGGUUUUGAACUACUAGCUAUACAAGAGAAGAAAACAGAAAUAUCUACAAGAAAAAACUAAAGAAGCAAUGGGCCAUUCAUGUUUCUUUUCUAUAAAGAUAUCAGCUAUGAAGAUCCUUCUGAUGUUGAGUCACAAAAGAACAAUUAUGCUUUGUUACGUGUCGGGGAUGCAUAUUUGAUAGCAAUCAGUGAUGCCCAUUCCAAUACCUAGAGACUGGUUCAUAGAUGAAAAGCAAAGACAUAAAAAUUAAAGGAUUUCAAGAGUUA
Long non-coding RNA from Peromyscus leucopus (white-footed mouse), 703 nucleotides. RefSeq lists it as uncharacterized. The transcript has 3 exons. The record is from RefSeq and is a predicted model, not a curated record. Lineage: Eukaryota; Metazoa; Chordata; Mammalia; Rodentia; Cricetidae.